AACGUAGGUGGCGAGCGUUAUCCGGAAUUACUGGGCGUAAAGCGUGUGCAGGCGGGCUAGCAAGUGGUGUAUGAAAGCUCCCGGCUCAACCGGGAAGGGUUAUGCCAGACUGCUAGUCUUGAGUGCGAGAGAGGAGCGUGGAAUUCCGGGUGUGAGUGGGUGAAAUGCGUGAGAGAUCCGGAGGAACCCCAGAGGCGAAGGCGGCGCUCUGGCUCGCAACUGGACGCUCAGACACGACAGCCAUGGGGAGCGAACGGG
RNAcentral lists this ribosomal RNA (258 nucleotides) under uncultured bacterium. RNAcentral's name for it is "partial 16S ribosomal RNA". It matches the Rfam family "Bacterial small subunit ribosomal RNA", at positions 524 to 776 of the family's 1533-position model. The record is from RNAcentral.